AUCAAAAGCAUUCUUUUUCUAACACCGACAACGUAGUUUAAACGAUUGAAAAUCAAAUCAUGAAGUCAGUUUGUCUCGCUCUCAUCGUUGCCUGUGUUUUGAUCUCCGUCGUCCAUUGUCAAUGGUCAGAAUACUACAGAGGUGGAGGACUAGGUGGAAACUACUACGGUGGACAAGGACUAGGAAGUGGAAUAAUUAGUGGAGGAUAUGACAGGUGGAAUUCGGGACUUGACCGAUUCGGUGGAGGAGGACUUCUAGGUCUCGGUCGUAGAGGACAAAGCAGAAGAGGAUAUUACUAGUUUACAAUUUACUUUACUUCAUUAUCAUGAAAUUUCAUCGUUAAACUAAAGGCACCAUACUAUUUAUGGCAUUACUGUGAUUACUUUGACACAUAUAUGUAAGAUAUUUUCGUUGGGUUUAUAUUGCCUGCAACCUUUAACGAGACAAUUGAUAUUUUUUUUCAUAAGAAAAUAUUAUAUGCCUUCAAAAUAGAAAUAUUGUUCAAAUGUGUUCUUUUUUAUGUAAUUCUUUCUUCUUAUGAAUUGUUUUGUAAAUGAAAUAAAUGUAAGAAACUCUU
Magallana angulata is the source of this 577-nucleotide long non-coding RNA. RefSeq lists it as uncharacterized. NCBI's taxonomy places the organism in Eukaryota, Metazoa, Mollusca, Bivalvia, Ostreida, Ostreidae. The record is from RefSeq and is a predicted model, not a curated record. The transcript is spliced from 2 exons.